Cyanistes caeruleus (blue tit) is the source of this 300-nucleotide long non-coding RNA. RefSeq lists it as uncharacterized. The record is from RefSeq and is a predicted model, not a curated record. NCBI's taxonomy places the organism in Eukaryota, Metazoa, Chordata, Aves, Passeriformes, Paridae.
CCCUGGGCUCUGCAGCUGCCUGUGUCCCCAUCUGGACAGGCACCAGGGCCUUCAGCUCCUCCUCAUGGCCAAUUUUCCAGCCACUCCAGCUCAACCUCCAUCCCACGGAACCACGGUUACUCCUGGGUCCUGGGUGUUGUGUGGAGUGAGAAGUGGUGGUGUUGAAGAUGAUGCAUUUGUUUGAUAGUGAGAGGUGAAAACAUGUCAUAUUGGUAAUUCCCAGUCAUGGAAGUGCGGACUCCUAGCACCCCUUGGAAAAUAAACUUUGGCUGAGGGAGAAAUCUCCCAGGUGUAUCGAGA